This 229-nucleotide ribosomal RNA is filed under the name uncultured bacterium. RNAcentral describes it as "partial 16S ribosomal RNA". It matches the Rfam family "Bacterial small subunit ribosomal RNA", at positions 568 to 796 of the family's 1533-position model. The record is from RNAcentral.
UGCGAAGGCGGGGCAAUUAGUCAGUGGUGAAAUCCUGCGGCUUAACCGUAGAACUGCCAUUGAUACUGUUGCUCUUGAGUAUAGUUGAGGUGGGCGGAAUGUGUAAUGUAGCGGUGAAAUGCAUAGAGAUUACACAGAACACCAAUUGCGAAGGCAGCUCACUAAGCUAUAACUGACGCUGAGGCACGAAAGCGUGGGGAGCGAACAGGAUUAGAUACCCUGGUAGUCC